This 820-nucleotide ribosomal RNA is filed under the name uncultured bacterium. RNAcentral's name for it is "bacterial SSU rRNA". It matches the Rfam family "Bacterial small subunit ribosomal RNA", at positions 1 to 815 of the family's 1533-position model. The record is from RNAcentral.
GAAUUCGCCCUUAGAGUUUGAUCCUGGCUCAGGAUGAACGCUGGCGGCGUGCCUAACACAUGCAAGUCGAGCGGGAUCUUUUUAAAUGACGCUUCGGUUGAUUUUAAAAAGUGAGAGCGGCGGACGGGUGAGUAACGCGUAGGCAACCUGCCCUUUGCAGAGGGAUAGCCAUUGGAAACGAUGAUUAAAACCUCAUAAUGCCAUUAAGAGACAUCUCUUGAUGGCCAAAGAUUUAUCGGCAAAGGAUGGGCCUGCGUCUGAUUAGCUAGUUGGUGGGGUAACGGCCUACCAAGGCGACGAUCAGUAGCCGACCUGAGAGGGUGAUCGGCCACAUUGGAACUGAGACACGGUCCAAACUCCUACGGGAGGCAGCAGUGGGGAAUAUUGGGCAAUGGGGGAAACCCUGACCCAGCAACGCCGCGUGAAGGAAGAAGGCUUUCGGGUUGUAAACUUCUUUUAGCAGGGACGAAAUCUGACGGUACCUGCAGAAAAAGCAACGGCUAACUACGUGCCAGCAGCCGCGGUAAUACGUAGGUUGCAAGCGUUGUCCGGAUUUACUGGGUGUAAAGGGCGUGUAGGCGGAGAUGCAAGUUGGGAGUGAAAUCCCCGGGGCUCAACCCCGGAACUGCUUUCAAAACUGUAUCCCUUGAGUGUCGGAGAGGCAAGCGGAAUUCCUAGUGUAGCGGUGAAAUGCGUAGAUAUUAGGAGGAACACCAGUGGCGAAGGCGGCUUGCUGGACGACAACUGACGCUGAGGCGCGAAAGCGUGGGGAGCAAACAGGAUUAGAUACCCUGGUAGUCCACGCUGUAAACGAUGAAUA